ACCAACAGGUUCGCUCCGCAGCGGACUCCCAACAACCCUCUAAAUAAAUAAAGAAAAGAAGAGAGAGCAAGAGAGCGCCACCACCAUCGUCAGAAACACAAUCUCCCUUCGCCUCCUCGAGAGGUCCGCCCCUUCUCCCUCUCAAUCCGAGACCCAUAAGAGAUACUGAAACCAAAAGCGCUACUCCCCAUCUACCGAAGAGCUAUAGUUGGUGGUGAUUUUGCUCCGAAGGGGAGAGAAAGAGGGAGUUUUGAGUUAGGAAGAUAAGGGGUAGCGAUGGAGUCGGCAGCGGCGGCGGCGGCGGCAAUCUCCCGCAUCGGGCUGGCGGGGCUGGCGGUGAUGGGACAGAACUUGGCCCUCAACAUCGCGGAGAAGGGCUUCCCCAUCUCCGUCUAUAACCGCACGGCCUCCCGCGUCGAUGACACCCUCCACCGCGCCAGGGAGGAAGGCGGCCUUCCUCUCACCGGCCACUACGAUCCCCGGGACUUCGUUCUCUCCAUCCGGCGGCCCCGCUCGAUUAUCAUCCUUGUCAAGGCCGGCUCCCCUGUCGACCAGACGAUCGCCACCCUCGCCCGCUUCCUCGAGCCCGGCGACUGCAUUAUUGACGGCGGCAACGAGUGGUACGAGAACACGGAGCGACGCAUCGCGGAGGUCUCCGCCUCCGGCCUCCUCUAUAUCGGCAUGGGCGUCUCCGGUGGCGAGGAUGGCGCCCGCAACGGCCCCUCCCUCAUGCCAGGCGGCUCCUUCCAAGCUUACGGCAACAUUCAGGAUGUCCUCGCCAAGGUCGCCGCCCAGGUCGAUGAUGGCCCCUGCGUCACCUACAUCGGCGAAGGCGGCUCUGGCAACUUCGUCAAGAUGGUACACAACGGCAUCGAGUACGGCGACAUGCAGCUCAUCGCCGAGGCAUACGACGUCUUGAAGAACGUCGGCGGUCUGUCAAACGCGGAGCUUGCGGCCACCUUCGCCGACUGGAACCGCGGGGAGCUCGAGAGCUUCCUCAUCGAGAUCACGGCCGAUAUCUUCGGCGUCAGGGACGAGUUCGGCGAAGGGGAGCUCGUGGACAAGAUACUGGAUAAGACCGGGAUGAAGGGGACCGGAAAAUGGACGGUGCAGCAGGCGGCCGAACUCUCAAUCGCUGCUCCCACGAUAGCCGCUUCGCUCGAUUCACGCUACCUGAGCGGGUUGAAGGAGGAGAGAGAGGAGGCGGACAGAGUCUUUAAGGAAGUGGGUGUUUUGGGCGAAGCGCUGGGCAGAAAGAGGGGAAUCGACAAGAAGGCUCUGGUGGACGACGUGAGACAAGCUCUCUACGCCUCCAAGAUCUGUAGCUACGCACAGGGGAUGAAUCUGCUGCGGGCGAAGAGCACGGAGAAGGGGUGGAACCUGAACCUCGGCGAGCUUGCGAGGAUCUGGAAGGGCGGGUGCAUCAUCCGAGCCGUGUUCCUCGAUCGCAUUAAGAAGGCAUACGAGCGGAACCCCCGGCUCGCCAACUUGAUGGUGGAUCCGGAGUUUGCUAGAGAGAUGGUACAGAGGCAGGCAGCAUGGAGAAGAGUGGUGGGUCUGGCGAUCGAGGCGGGAAUCAGUACGCCGGGGAUGAGUGCGAGCCUGGCGUACUUUGAUACUUACAGAAGGGCCAGGCUGCCGGCGAACCUCGUUCAGGCGCAGAGGGACCUGUUCGGAGCGCACACUUACGAGCGGGUCGACCGUCCGGGAUCGUUCCAUACAGAGUGGACAAAGCUCGCCAGGGAGAGCAAGGCUGGAGCUGGUUCUCUCAACUAAAACGAAAUGAGAUGAACGUUUGAGGAUGCAAGCAAGAAAGUGUAAAACAGGUAGCGUAUUCAAGUGAUCUGCGAACAUGAACUCACAGCAUCAGGAAAGUUUCAAGGUCUAUGAGCAGUAGGAAGUCAGUGGAAAUGCAACUGGAGUUGCUUUCAUGUGUUUAUUGGAUGGUCCGAAAACUUUUCGGAUGGAAGUAGCAAAAGUAGGUGAUUGGAUGGAAAGUAUUUUACAGAUGCCAAAACAUGUGGAUAUUAGCAAGUUCCGGUGCUGGACAAUGAAGCACAUAACAAGGAUUACUGCCAGUCCCAAUAAGGUUCUCUUCAACUUAUCGCUUUCAGUAGUUGUAUCUGAGGGACUCGAAUUUGGAUUGCAGUUUGCCUAAAAAUUGUGGAUUAAGCAGACCUGCUGUUGACUGACCAGGCACUUGUUCUUUCCCUUAUUUUAUGGCCAAUUAUGAGCAGUGAACUUGGUUUCGACUUUUGUGGGCUCUGCUGCAUUAACCCCUGCUUUGGGGAUUGUUAUAUGCCAGUAACCUGCUUACUUGAAUAUCGGAUAUGAUCACCAAGGUGCUGUACGGGAACUCUUGUAUGGUAUUUGCUUCUGUAAUGCCAAAUCCUGGUGAUUGAAUGCAGCCAUACAUAUAUUUUUUUUGGUUGAA
Nymphaea colorata (pocket water lily) is the source of this 2434-nucleotide RNA transcript. It is a transcript of the gene named 6-phosphogluconate dehydrogenase, decarboxylating 1, chloroplastic-like, with no coding region annotated. The transcript has 3 exons. NCBI's taxonomy places the organism in Eukaryota, Viridiplantae, Streptophyta, Magnoliopsida, Nymphaeales, Nymphaeaceae. The record is from RefSeq and is a predicted model, not a curated record.